CUUCCUGACCCAGGGAUCUAGGUCUCUUGCAUCUCCUGCAUGGCAGGUGGAUUCUUUACUGCUGAGCCACUGGGGAAGCUCCUUAAGAGGGGUUAAUUGCAUGUGUUUGAAUUGUGUGAUCUAUGUUUAGUUUCUUCUCUGCCCCUCCUUCUGCCCUCUAGGUGUUGGUAUGUUUUGAUCCACUUGUCACUAUGUACUUAGCAUUGAUUUCUGUAGCAGUUUUCACUUGUGGACAGGUUAAUGUCGUGUGCGGUCAAAGGAACUGGUUUAGCUGUCCUGGGCAAGUCAUUUUGUGAAACUUGACUGUAAAAUGAAGGCUCUGGGGACCUUCUCUGGUGGUCCAGUGGUUAACUGCACUUCCGACAUAGGGGGCAUGAGUUCGAUCCCUGGUCGGUGAACUAAGAUCCCACAUGCUGCGUGGUGCAGCCAAAAAAUAAAAUAAAAUUUUAAAAAUAAUAAAUAAAAUACAGGUUUGGGUUAGCUAAGCAGGAACAAUUUCUAGAUCCUGGGAUUAUAAUCCUGGCUCUGAAUAAAGACCCUUGGGGGUUCUGGCUUUGAGCAUCCCGGUUUGGCUUUAAAGCACCUCUUGUUGGUUUUUUUUUGUUUUUUUUUUUUUUCUUUUGCUACAGUUUCCUUGGAUUACUCUUUUCAUUUUGCAGUGGAGCUAAAAGGCACAGAGAGAGUUAAGUGGCAUGAGCCCUGCUGUGUGACUCCAGGAAGACUGCAGUAGAGGUGUGCUAAGACCAACACAAGUGUCUGUGUCCAACAUGAGAUGUCAGGGACCAUCCUUGCUUCAGACAGGGAAACGCUCCCCUUGGGGAGCCCUUCACUAUGUUCUUCGUAAAUAACAGGGAUGGUGGAGACUGUGAGGAACUGAGUCAGGAGCCCUGGGUUGGGGUUCAAGCCCAGCCCCUAACUUGCUUCAUUCUUUAGGCACUGUUCUGUCACUAGUAAAAUGGGGGCUAUGUUCAGUAUUUCCUAUUUUUCACCUGUCCCCCUUUCUACUAACACAGAACACUCAUUGUCCUCUUUUUAUGUUACUUGCAAUUUGAAAUAAUUAAUUACACUUGAAGCCCAAUCAAUAAUUAUAUCUUGAAAGGAAAAAAAAAGGUUUUGUUUUGUUUGUAUUCUAUAAGGCACACAUUUUUAACCUUGAUCUUGUAACGUUCAGUGAGAGUGUGGGAUGGGCCUGUGUUUUUCAGUUUUUCUCUCCUGUGUGGUGUGUGGACCAUGGUGCUCAGGACUGGUCACUUUCAGUUCUGAGCCCAGCAAGCUGCUCUGUUGUGUGGAAACUCAGCUUGGCUAAUGCUUCACAUUGUAAUACUGCAUAUACUUUUCUGUGAAAUCCCUUCUACCCAAUGUCACCUUAAUGACUUGCAUUUUUCAAAAUGGGUGGUGACCAUUAGUGGGAGCCACAUUCUUAAAAAGCCAGGUUGGUGAGAGUACAAAAUAUUAACACAAGCAUGUGUGGCAUGCAGUAAGAAAUACUGUUGCUCUGUGACAGUCUGGGUUGUGUGUAUGUGUGUUCCCUGAGUGGCUGUGCUAAAUGUACCUCUGGCUAGGCCAAAAAGUCUGAGAAAACACUAAACCUCAUCAUCACUAACGUCUCUCGAGUUCCAGCAGUCAACAGCCUGUGAUUCUUAAGUGGGGAUUUAGAAGACUUUUGGCAACUUUUCCCCUCCUUCCCUUGGCCCCUCCGUGGUGGCAUAUGACUGCUUACUCAUCUGUAAAGGGACCGGCUGCCAGGACCUUGCAGUGGUCCCACGGGAGGGCGCGAGGGGACCCUGGAGGGCUGUCACCCAGAGGUCGCCACGACGUGUUCCAUGCCAGCUGGGGUUUUGCAGCCCCUCUGCCAUACCCCUCGCUCUCCCUGGUGCUCCAGAGGGGCCAGCGGCGUGGUCGCCUAGACCAGCACUUGGGGUGGACGUGAGAACCCCUGGUCCGGAGCGCUCAGGACUGUGGGGAGAAUGCCAGGUGGGUGGAGGAGGAAAUUCCAACCAGAUUAGGCACACCGCUCUCCGACCAUGCCGCGCGUCCCGCGGUGGCGAAAGCAGGGGCAGAAGGAAACAGGAAAGAUUUGAAGCGAGAGGACUUCCGCUGACCCUUCUCUUGCUUUGCUUCUCAGGGAAACGCAGUCCCUUUAAGCUCUGCUGGGGGAAGCCCUCCUGCCCCGCUAGGGUGCAGCCGGAUGGCAGGGCGCUGAGAGCCGGCCGAGCGGGUUGAGUCUAAGCCUUCUCUCUAGGAGCCGGUGGGUGCCGAGCCAGUUGGAAGCCUCGCUUGGCCUCGGGGGUUUCCGUCGCUGGCAGUGCUGAGCUCCGAGGAGCAGCAGCAGCGAGGCGGGCAGGUGCCAGGCAGCUCAGCGUUCCUCCACCUCUGACUCUGCUCAUCUUGGUCUCCGCAGUGCCAAGUGGGCUGCUAGGGUCCUCAGUACGGGACGGGGUGAAGAAGGCAGCUGCCAGCGUCCCUCCCACUCACUCCAGUGCUUUCAAAACCAUGCACAGCCCAGGAGAUGCCACUCGGCUUCGAAAGAGUGUGAAAUCCCAAGUUGCUCUCGUUUCUUGCGACAAAAGUACAGUGAUUUUUCAGUCUCCUUCCGAUCCUGCCCUUCCCUUCUUCUCCAUCCUCCUUCAGUGGGAAGGAGCACUUUUCUAUAAGGUGGAUCUGGGAGUGGCGUGGAUUCCAGCGAGGAAUUCUUCUUGAACUUCUGUACUGUUGUUCGUUUCAUGAACGCGCAGGCCGCGUGCUGACGCCCAGGGCUGGGGUCUGCUGGAGGAGUGGGGGCAGGGAUCUGAUCCCAGAGACAGCGCUUGGGCCCCCACGUGGCCACUUUCCUGCCUGCCGCUGGCCCCCUCUGUCCGGAAAUGGGGGAGGGCGAGGCCAGGGCAGAGGGCUUGGAGGGGAGUCCCUGAGAUUACAGCGGGCAGCCAAGGCGGCCUCAGAUCUUCAAUAGGGCGAGGCACUGGGGCUAACUUGGAGGAGGGGUUCAAUUACAUUGUUCAAAUCACGCCUUAGGGCGCACAAGGGGUGGGGGGCGUGCCCUUGAGGUAGGGGCUUGUCACGUGAGUCAGGGGGCGUGGCUCUGUGGAGUGGGCUUCCUGUGCCUUUCCUGGUUGCCCCUGGGCACGUUUUAGCCACCUGUGGCCCUUUCAUUGAUUAGGGCCUUUGCCCCCUCGAUCUUUGGGGUGGUGACCAGUCUCCGGACUCGAGUCCUGCUUUCCUUUGUUUACAGGCUUGGGGUCUGGACUCUUCUGGCAUUCCCUGAGGCCCUGGAUGAACUGGCUUGCUUGUGUUCAAGGAAGCCUUUGGCAGUCUGUCUUGAACCUCCGAACUUUCUGGCUUUUUUCCUAUCUCCCUUGGUCCCCAAGCUUUCCUGCCCAGAGAGUUUUCUUUUUGUUUUUAAAUCUUGUGAGUUCUGCUUCUCCCAAAGCCUGCCCUCCUCUCCCGGCCAACACCUUGGAAUGUUCACUGCUGCCAUUUUUCAUAGGAAGCUUCCUCCAAUCACUUUAACUGCAGACCUGCCCUCAGACUCCUUCUGAGCCUGAAUUCUCACCGGCAGAGAACUGGCUUGGGGCAGUUCAGAUCCUAGGCUUUUGACUUACCGGUUGGGUGGGACACUUAGCUUUUCGGAGUUCUGGUAGUUUCCUUAUCUAUGAAAUGCAGAAGCUAAUUUUCUUCCUGCUUUCUCUUUCCUGAACCAGCUUUCCCUGGCUUCCUUCUUUACUUUCCCCCUGGACCCUGUGGAUGUGCCUUGUCACUGACUCCUUCACAUCUUCACUGAACAUUCCUUCCUCCUCCCUAAGCCGAUAGAAACCCAGCUCUUCUGAGGCCUCUCCCGGGUGCCUCUCAGGUAGAGAUGAUUCCCAUUAGUUUAAACCAGGCACCUUGGGGCUGCUACCCUCCCACUGUUGCUUGCUAACCCUAUCAAGCUCUCCUUUCCCUUUGAGGCUCCUGCCGUCCACUUCCACCAGCGUCUGUCCCUCUCCUCCCUGUGUUACCCCUCACCUUCUACUCCCCUGGGAUGGCGGGGUGGGCAGGGGGAGGGAGUCUUGAGCCACACUGUGGUCCUGCUUCCCACUUGGGUGUGACCUGGGGCAAAUGUCUUCACCUCUCUGCCUGGUUUCUCCAUUUAUAAAAGAAGGAAAAGAUGGUACUGAUGUCCUGGGUGUCUGUGAGGGUUAAGUCCUUAUAGCGCUUAUCAUUGCCUCCUGUGUAGGACUGUCCUCUGGGUGGGACCUUUCAGCUUCAGUACCAUCAUCAUCAACAACACCAUGAUCCAGCCACUUUCCCUCAUCCUCUGGAUGUUGACAUCUGGCUUACAGACUGUUCAUCCAUCCUGAAUUCUGUUAUCAUCCUGAGAGUGUUCUGUUUUGGUCACCACCUGACUAACAUCCAAAUCCCUCCAUUCUUUUUUUUUUUUUUUUUUGCCCACUGCACAGGGUGUGGAACUUCCCCAACCAGGGAUCAAACCCAUGCCCCCUGCAUCGGAAGCACAGACCACCAGGGAAGUCCCAAAUCCCUCUAUUCUUUACACCACUCAGGUCCAUGGCUAUUACUUCUAAAGGCCUUGUCGUGGCCCUGAACCUGUCUACCCCUGAAAUCGUGCGUUCAGACGGCUCAGAGUCUGGCCACAGCUGUCUCACGGUCACACUCUUCUCACCUCUUCUCUGUCUCAUCUCAUCACAUCCCUGGCUUCCUCAUCCAGCCUGGCCUCCACAGCCCAUCACUGCAGCCACUCCCCAGCCCAUAGUUUCUUUGCCUUUGCAUCUUCCAACACCUGCCUGCCCACAUCUGAUCCCCAGCAAGCCACUGCCCACAGGGAAGCCCAGCCCUUCAGGAGAAACCCUCACAUUGCGUCCACUGCUGCCCUGUGUGCCAGGCGUUUGGGGCCCCAGCCUGGCCUUCCCCGUGCUCCGGUCAGUCGGCUUCCAUCCUGCUCAGAAGCUGCCUCAGACCACCUUGCUUCUCAGACUCCCACCCUUCUACUUUUUUCAGCCUCAGUGUGGCAUAUUGCUCUCUGUUCCUAGAGGAACCAGGACUCCAUCAAAUUCUUCUUCCUCUAACUGUCCUUCCUACUAGUCUGCCAACCCCUGCCCCUUCUCCUAUUGUAAAGUAAGAGGGUCCUUCCUUCUUCUAAGGAGAGUCAGUGGGUUUAGCAACCACUGAUGUACACCUGGGUUUGAAUCCUGGCUCUCCACCUGGGCCAUCUUACUUGACCUCUGUAAGCUCAGUUUCCUUGUCUACAGAUUGGGAAUGUGAAUCCCAAGACCCAGAUUCUUCUUUAUUGAAAGAAUCAAGUGGGCAUGACGUAUGUAAAGCUUUUGCUGCAGUGUCUGGUGCCUAAGUUCUCAAUAAAGGUCACGGUCGUAGUUAUUUUGGUCAUCUGUCUCUUGAGUAACCCAGUUCCAGUAUCUUGGCCUCUACCCCACCCCCACCUCCAGCCAUUGGUUCCUUCUUAAGAGCAUUUCUGAAUCCAUACUUGUCUCAUCUUAAAUAACAAACAAACCCCAGGCAGCUCACCUUGACCCCAUGUGCCCCGAGAGUUUUCUCUCCUUAAAAUAACAAAUGUUGGGAAAGGAUGGUUGACACUCAGUCUCUACCUCCUCCCCUUGUCACCUCCCCCCUCCCCCUAGACCUCUGGCAUUUUGCAUCUGUUUAGUCCCUGUCUCCUGCAGUUUGUUUAGGUUCAUGUCCACUUAGUUGGUGAUGCUCUCCAACCAUCUCAUCCUCUGCUGCCCCCUUCUCCUUUUGCCUUCGGUCUUUUCCAAAGAGUCAGCUCUUUGCAUCAGGUAGC
Cervus elaphus (red deer) is the source of this 5791-nucleotide long non-coding RNA. RefSeq lists it as uncharacterized. NCBI's taxonomy places the organism in Eukaryota, Metazoa, Chordata, Mammalia, Artiodactyla, Cervidae. The record is from RefSeq and is a predicted model, not a curated record. The transcript is spliced from 2 exons.